Long non-coding RNA from Balaenoptera ricei (Rice's whale), 616 nucleotides. RefSeq lists it as uncharacterized. Lineage: Eukaryota; Metazoa; Chordata; Mammalia; Artiodactyla; Balaenopteridae. The record is from RefSeq and is a predicted model, not a curated record. The transcript is spliced from 2 exons.
AGGGAGGGGCCCCGGCUCUUUUGCACCUGGAAGAGCCCCGCCGUAACUCCGAAAUUGGGACUAGUGAGAGGGACCGUGAGCACGUGACUGACCUUGCUGGGUCUCCGGUGGAAGCCGUUCCCUUAGGGGCGGAACUCCAACCGAAGCAGAAACAACUGUGGUGUGACACUGGCUCUGUGAGACCUGAGAUCUGUGGGUCAAUCAGAAUGGGCCAAAUUCAAGUCUGUUUGCGGACGGAACCAGCACCAAGCAGCUCGUACUGGCAAAAGCAGAACAAACGGGCUCAGACAGAAUUGACUUAUCAAGAAGUGGUCAAAGACUCAUCGGCAGUGAUACAGCCUAACAUCAAGGUUCAGAGCACAGACUUAGCAGCCAGAUGGCGUAGGUUCAAAUCCCGGCUCCACUUCUCAGGGACCAGGAAACCUGGGGCAGUUUUCUGAAGCUCUCUGUGCCUCAGUUUAUCCACAUGUAAAAUGAAGACACUAAUAGCCGUCCCCACCUGCAGAGUAGUUGUAAGAAUUAUAGGACUUAACGUAAAGCCCUUGGAAUUGACUGUGCCGACAUAUCACAGGUGCAAUAUGAGUGUCUGCUAUUAUUAAAAUAACCCAAAUCAAAA